UCCGUAGGUGAACCUGCGGAGGGAUCAUUACAAGAACGCCCGGGCUUCGGCCUGGUUAUUCAUAACCCUUUGUUGUCCGACUCUGUUGCCUCCGGGGCGACCCUGCCUUCGGGCGGGGGCUCCGGGUGGACACUUCAAACUCUUGCGUAACUUUGCAGUCUGAGUAAACUUAAUUAAUAAAUUAAAACUUUUAACAACGGAUCUCUUGGUUCUGGCAUCGAUGAAGAACGCAGCGAAAUGCGAUAAGUAAUGUGAAUUGCAGAAUUCAGUGAAUCAUCGAAUCUUUGAACGCACAUUGCGCCCCCUGGUAUUCCGGGGGGCAUGCCUGUUCGAGCGUCAUUUCACCACUCAAGCCUCGCUUGGUAUUGGGCAACGCGGUCCGCCGCGUGCCUCAAAUCGUCCGGCUGGGUCUUCUGUCCCCUAAGCGUUGUGGAAACUAUUCGCUAAAGGGUGUUCGGGAGGCUACGCCGUAAAACAACCCCAUUUCUAAGGUUGACCUCGGAUCAGGUAGGGAUACCCGCUGAACUUAAGCAUAUCAAUAAGCGGAGGAAA
RNAcentral lists this small RNA (552 nucleotides) under Cladosporium herbarum. Its description in RNAcentral is "eukaryotic LSU rRNA". The stretch from base 186 to 339 matches the Rfam family "5.8S ribosomal RNA". The record is from RNAcentral. Lineage: Eukaryota; Fungi; Ascomycota; Dothideomycetes; Cladosporiales; Cladosporiaceae.